CCUACGGGUGGCAGCAGUGAGGAAUAUUGGUCAAUGGUCGGGAGACUGAACCAGCCAAGCCGCGUGAGGGAUGAAGGUACAGAGUAUCGUAAACCUCUUUUGUCAGGGAACAAAGGCGGGGACGUGUCCCCGGAUGAGUGUACCUGAAGAAAAAGCAUCGGCUAACUCCGUGCCAGCCGCCGCGGUAAUACGGAGGAUGCUAGCGUUAUCCGGAUUUGUUGGGUUUAAAGGGUGCGGAGGCGGUCUGUUAAGUCAGCGGUAAACGCCCGGGGCUCAAUACCGGCCCGCCGGUGAAACUGGCAGGCUCGAGUUGGAGAGAGGUAUGCGGAAUGCGCGGUGUAGCGGUGAAAUGCAUAGAUAUAGCGCAGAACUCCGAUUGCGAAGGCAGCAUGCCGGCUCCACACUGACGCUGAGGAACGAAAGCGUGGGUAUCGAACAGGAUUAGAUACCCCAGUAGUC
Molecule: ribosomal RNA, 459 nt
Filed under: uncultured bacterium
Lineage: Bacteria
Description: partial 16S ribosomal RNA
Rfam family: Bacterial small subunit ribosomal RNA
Source: RNAcentral